UGAGAGGCAACUUUUAAUUUGAAGGAAGUUCAGCUUGCGAAGGAGGUGCCGCCGAGAUCCUCUGGUCCGGGAGUUGCUCUGCUGAAGCAGCAGAGGGAUUGUAAAACGUUUCAGCUUGCAGAGGCCUUGCUGCUGUCUCCCUCUUCUCUUGCCAUAAGCGUCGUGUCUGGCUGGCAGCUGGGAAGAGGAAAAGUUGGCUGCUGUUAUCUGCCACCUGAUUUCCAUGAAAAGAAGAAUGCCAACACGAAUAUGAAGUGAACCAUUUCCUAUAUUUGCCACAGCGCCUGGAUGCUCAUAUCGGAUGGUUAGAGACAGAGACUUGCCUCUCACCAGACUGCUUCCUCAGACAAGAUGAAGCCAAGGAGGAGCUUUCCGACACACUGGAGUCGCAGUGACUGCUGCCCAGUUUAAAAUUGAUGUCAGACUG
This 427-nucleotide long non-coding RNA is filed under the name Accipiter nisus (Eurasian sparrowhawk). RNAcentral's name for it is "lncRNA (ENSANIG00000001731.1)". The record is from RNAcentral. Lineage: Eukaryota; Metazoa; Chordata; Aves; Accipitriformes; Accipitridae.